This 73-nucleotide transfer RNA is filed under the name Ipomoea nil (Japanese morning glory). It matches the Rfam family "tRNA". From Rfam's summary of the family: Transfer RNA (tRNA) molecules are approximately 80 nucleotides in length. Their secondary structure includes four short double-helical elements and three loops (D, anti-codon, and T loops). Further hydrogen bonds mediate the characteristic L-shaped molecular structure. tRNAs have two regions of fundamental functional importance: the anti-codon, which is responsible for specific mRNA codon recognition, and the 3' end, to which the tRNAs corresponding amino acid is attached (by aminoacyl-tRNA synthetases). tRNAs cope with the degeneracy of the genetic code in two manners: having more than one tRNA (with a specific anti-codon) for a particular amino acid; and 'wobble' base-pairing, i.e. permitting non-standard base-pairing at the 3rd anti-codon position. The record is from Rfam by way of RNAcentral. Lineage: Eukaryota; Viridiplantae; Streptophyta; Magnoliopsida; Solanales; Convolvulaceae.
GCGGGGAUAGCUCAGUUGGGAGAGCGUUAGACUGAAGAUCUGAAGGCCGUGUGUUCGAUCCACACUCACCGCA